GUGGGGAAUAUUGGACAAUGGGCGCAAGCCUGAUCCAGCAAUGCCGCGUGGGUGAAGAAGGUCUUCGGAUCGUAAAGCCCUUUCGACAGGGACGAUGAUGACGGUACCUGUAGAAGAAGCCCCGGCUAACUUCGUGCCAGCAGCCGCGGUAAUACGAAGGGGGCUAGCGUUACUCGGAAUUACUGGGCGUAAAGGGCGCGUAGGCGACUCUGUUAGUCAGGCGUGAAAUUCCUGGGCUUAACCUGGGGACUGCGCUUGAUACUGCAGGGCUUGAGGCCGAGAGAGGGUGGUGGAAUUCCCAGUGUAGAGGUGAAAUUCGUAGAUAUUGGGAAGAACACCGGUGUCGAAGGCGACCACCUGGCUCGGUUCUGACGCUGAGGCGCGACAGCGUGGGGAGCAAACAGGAUUAGAAACCCUGGUAGUCC
RNAcentral lists this ribosomal RNA (425 nucleotides) under uncultured bacterium. RNAcentral's name for it is "partial 16S ribosomal RNA". It matches the Rfam family "Bacterial small subunit ribosomal RNA", at positions 354 to 796 of the family's 1533-position model. The record is from RNAcentral.